CCUACGGGUGGCAGCAGUGAGGAAUAGUGGUCAAUGGACGAGAGUCUGAACCAGCCAAGGAGCGUGAAGGAUGACGGCCCUAUGGGUUGUAAACUUCUUUUAUAUGGGAAUAAAAUGUUCCACGUGUGGGCUUUUGUAUGUACCAUAUGAAUAAGGAUCGGCUAACUCCGUGCCAGCAGCCGCGGUAAUACGGAGGAUCCGAGCGUUAUCCGGAUUUAUUGGGUUUAAAGGGAGCGUAGGUGGGUUGUUAAGUCAGUUGUGAAAGUUUGCGGCUCAACCGUAAAAUUGCAGUUGAAACUGGCAGUCUUGAGUACAGUAGAGGUGGGCGGAAUUCGUGGUGUAGCGGUGAAAUGCUUAGAUAUCACGAAGAACUCCGAUUGCGAAGGCAGCUCACUGGACUGCAACUGACACUGAGGCUCGAAAGUGUGGGUAUCAAACAGGAUUAGAUACCCGUGUAGUC
Molecule: ribosomal RNA, 460 nt
Filed under: uncultured bacterium
Lineage: Bacteria
Description: partial 16S ribosomal RNA
Rfam family: Bacterial small subunit ribosomal RNA
Source: RNAcentral